CUCUAUACGGAGUUACAAAGGACGACAUUAGACGAAUCAUCUGGAAAGAUGAAUCAAAGAAGGUAAUAAUCCUGUAGUCGAAAAUGUUGUCUCUCUUGAGUGGAUCCUGAGUACGACGGAGCACGUGAAAUUCCGUCGGAAUCUGGGAGGACCAUCUCCUAAGGCUAAAUACUCUCUAGUGACCGAUAGUGAACCAGUACCGUGAGGGAAAGGUGAAAAGCACCCCGGAAGGGGAGUGAAAUAGAACCUGAAACCGUGUGCUUACAAGUAGUCAGAGCCCGUUAAUGGGUGAUGGCGUGCCUUUUGUAGAAUGAACCGGCGAGUUACGAUUUGAUGCAAGGUUAAGCAGUAAAUGUGGAGCCGUAGCGAAAGCGAGUCUGAAUAGGGCGUUUAGUAUUUGGUCGUAGACCCGAAACCAGGUGAUCUACCCUUGGUCAGGUUGAAGUUCAGGUAACACUGAAUGGAGGACCGAACCGACUUACGUUGAAAAGUGAGCGGAUGAACUGAGGGUAGCGGAGAAAUUCCAAUCGAACCUGGAGAUAGCUGGUUCUCUCCGAAAUAGCUUUAGGGCUAGCCUCAAGUGAUGAUUAUUGGAGGUAGAGCACUGUUUGGACGAGGGGCCCCUCUCGGGUUACCGAAUUCAGACAAACUCCGAAUGCCAAUUAAUUUAACUUGGGAGUCAGAACAUGGGUGAUAAGGUCCGUGUUCGAAAGGGAAACAGCCCAGACCACCAGCUAAGGUCCCAAAAUAUAUGUUAAGUGGAAAAGGAUGUGGCGUUGCCCAGACAACUAGGAUGUUGGCUUAGAAGCAGCCAUCAUUUAAAGAGUGCGUAAUAGCUCACUAGUCGAGUGACACUGCGCCGAAAAUGUACCGGGGCUAAACAUAUUACCGAAGCUGUGGAUUGUCCUUUGGACAAUGGUAGGAGAGCGUUCUAAGGGCGUUGAAGCAUGAUCGUAAGGACAUGUGGAGCGCUUAGAAGUGAGAAUGCCGGUGUGAGUAGCGAAAGACGGGUGAGAAUCCCGUCCACCGAUUGACUAAGGUUUCCAGAGGAAGGCUCGUCCGCUCUGGGUUAGUCGGGUCCUAAGCUGAGGCCGACAGGCGUAGGCGAUGGAUAACAGGUUGAUAUUCCUGUACCACCUAUAAUCGUUUUAAUCGAUGGGGGGACGCAGUAGGAUAGGCGAAGCGUGCGAUUGGAUUGCACGUCUAAGCAGUAAGGCUGAGUAUUAGGCAAAUCCGGUACUCGUUAAGGCUGAGCUGUGAUGGGGAGAAGACAUUGUGUCUUCGAGUCGUUGAUUUCACACUGCCGAGAAAAGCCUCUAGAUAGAAAAUAGGUGCCCGUACCGCAAACCGACACAGGUAGUCAAGAUGAGAAUUCUAAGGUGAGCGAGCGAACUCUCGUUAAGGAACUCGGCAAAAUGACCCCGUAACUUCGGGAGAAGGGGUGCUCUUUAGGGUUAACGCCCAGAAGAGCCGCAGUGAAUAGGCCCAAGCGACUGUUUAUCAAAAACACAGGUCUCUGCUAAACCGUAAGGUGAUGUAUAGGGGCUGACGCCUGCCCGGUGCUGGAAGGUUAAGAGGAGUGGUUAGCUUCUGCGAAGCUACGAAUCGAAGCCCCAGUAAACGGCGGCCGUAACUAUAACGGUCCUAAGGUAGCGAAAUUCCUUGUCGGGUAAGUUCCGACCCGCACGAAAGGCGUAACGAUUUGGGCACUGUCUCAACGAGAGACUCGGUGAAAUCAUAGUACCUGUGAAGAUGCAGGUUACCCGCGACAGGACGGAAAGACCCCGUGGAGCUUUACUGUAGCCUGAUAUUGAAAUUCGGCACAGCUUGUACAGGAUAGGUA
This 1843-nucleotide ribosomal RNA is filed under the name Staphylococcus aureus. RNAcentral describes it as "partial 23S ribosomal RNA". It matches the Rfam family "Bacterial large subunit ribosomal RNA", at positions 308 to 2149 of the family's 2925-position model. The record is from RNAcentral. Lineage: Bacteria; Bacillati; Bacillota; Bacilli; Caryophanales; Staphylococcaceae.